CCCAAUCCCGAUUCGGGGAGGUAGUGACAAUAAAUAACAAUACAGGGCCAACGGUCUUGUUAUUGGAAUGAGAGCAAUUUAAAUAACUUAACGAGGAUCAAUUAGAGGGCAAGUCUGGUGCCAGCAGCCGCGGUAAUUCCAGCUCUAAUAGCGUAUAUUAAAGUUGUUGCAGUUAAAAAGCUCGUAGUCGGAUGUCGGGCUCGGGCAAGCUGUCGGCCUUUGGUCGGACGGCAGGCUCGGGUCUUUCUGCCUGAGGAACCCGGUUGCUUUAACGAGCUGCCGGUGGACGCAGGUCGUUUACUUUGAAAAAAUUAGAGUGUUCAAAGCAGGCUAGCGCUUGAAUACAUUAGCAUGGAAUAAUGGAAUAGGACUUUGGUGCUAUUUUGUUGGUUUAUGGGACCGAAGUAAUGAUUAACAGGGACAGUUGGGGCCGUUUAUAUUUCGUUGUCAGAGGUGAAAUUCUUGGAUUUACGAAAGAUAAACUUCUGCGAAAGCAUUCGGCAAGGAUGUUUUCAUUGAUCAAGAACGAAAGUUAGGGGAUCGAAGACGAUCAGAUACCGUCGUAGUCUUAACCAUAAACUAUGCCGACUAGGGAUCAGUGGAUGUCAAUUUGCGACUCCAUUGGCACCUUGUGAGAAAUCAAAGUUUUUGGGUUCCGGGGGGAGUAUGGUCGCAAGGCUGAAACUUAAAGGAAUUGACGGAAGGGCACCACCAGGAGUGGAGCCUGCGGCUUAAUUUGACUCAACACGGGGAAACUUACCAGGUCCAGACAUAGUAAGGAUUGACAGAUUGAAAGCUCUUUCUUGAU
RNAcentral lists this ribosomal RNA (808 nucleotides) under uncultured marine Geminigeraceae. RNAcentral's name for it is "SSU rRNA". It matches the Rfam family "Eukaryotic small subunit ribosomal RNA", at positions 444 to 1266 of the family's 1831-position model. The record is from RNAcentral. Lineage: Eukaryota; Cryptophyceae; Pyrenomonadales; Geminigeraceae.